CACAAGUUAUGUUUUGUUAUACUAAUCCAACCAACUAAUUGGAAUAGGGAGAAGGAACAUCAAGUGGAGCAACUCCAAACAAGAGGCAGAGAAAUGAGGUCAACAGAGCAGCUGCACCAAAGGGGUCUACUAACGUCAAGGACCAAGUUAUCAAGUCUAGGAAAACAUGGAAGAAAAUCAAGCAAACUGUGGAGAGUAUUUCGGGUCCCAAUGUUGGUGCCUCAACAUCACAAUCAAAUCAGCAGCCUCCCACUCAAAGUAGCCAGAAUCCGGCAGCUGGGAGUGCUCAAUGGAAAGCAUCAGAGCCUAUGCAACCAAGCCAAGCUUCAUCUGAAUAUGCAGCAUUUUAAUCCAAUUUGAACUAUUGGUUUUUGUUAUUGCUUAACGCUUACCUUUUGCUAAACUAUCAGUCAACAUUAAGCACUUGUUGCUUAUGCAUUUUGCUGGAUAAAUUAUGUAUGAGUCAUUUGUCAAUGGAUGAUUCAAUUCUUAUGAUCUUUUUCAUAUUAAAGUGAUUGAUUGAAUUAGCUUUUAUGUUCA
Molecule: long non-coding RNA, 540 nt
Organism: Rosa rugosa (rugosa rose)
Lineage: Eukaryota; Viridiplantae; Streptophyta; Magnoliopsida; Rosales; Rosaceae
Exons: 2
Source: RefSeq, a predicted model, not a curated record